This 369-nucleotide ribosomal RNA is filed under the name uncultured organism. RNAcentral's name for it is "bacterial SSU rRNA". It matches the Rfam family "Bacterial small subunit ribosomal RNA", at positions 526 to 896 of the family's 1533-position model. The record is from RNAcentral.
CGUAGGGUGCGAGCGUUAAUCGGAAUUACUGGGCGUAAAGCGUGCGCAGGCGGUUUAGUAAGACAGGCGUGAAAUCCCCGGGCUCAACCUGGGAACUGCGCUUGUGACUGCUAAGCUAGAGUACGGCAGAGGGGGGUGGAAUUCCACGUGUAGCAGUGAAAUGCGUAGAGAUGUGGAGGAACACCAAUGGCGAAGGCAGCCCCCUGGGUCGAUACUGACGCUCAUGCACGAAAGCGUGGGUAGCAAACAGGAUUAGAUACCCUGGUAGUCCACGCCCUAAACGAUGUCAACUAGGUGUUGGGAGGUAAACCUUUUAGUACCGGAGCUAACGCGUGAAGUUGACCGCUGGGGAUACGGCCGACAAGGUUA